RNAcentral lists this long non-coding RNA (315 nucleotides) under Lathyrus oleraceus (garden pea). RNAcentral describes it as "Pisum sativum (pea) long non-coding RNA (PSAT_LNC040882)". The record is from RNAcentral. Lineage: Eukaryota; Viridiplantae; Streptophyta; Magnoliopsida; Fabales; Fabaceae.
AAAGAUCAGGGCUGAGAGAGAUCAUUACGUGGCAGAGAGAGACCACUACUUCAGGCAGAUGAAGAUUCAUCAGAAGGAAGUUGGGAGACUGCAGCAAGAGAAUACAGAGCUCAGGUUCGCCGCAGAGUUCGCGAGGAUGGAAGACGAGAUAGGGCCACCUGCGGGACCCUCAUCCAGUUAGAUCUUUCAUUUGUGUUGGAUUACCGUCAGGCUUGUUGACGGAAUUCACUUGUAGCAGAGUUCGCGAGGAUGGAAGACGAGAUAGGGCCACCUGCGGGACCCUCAUCCAGUUAGAUCUUUCAUUUGUGUUGGAUU